GACCGCGACCCCAGGUCAGGCGGGACUACCCGCUGA
RNAcentral lists this ribosomal RNA (36 nucleotides) under Veronica cymbalaria. RNAcentral describes it as "partial 26S ribosomal RNA". RNAcentral also lists the same sequence under 4 other names. Lineage: Eukaryota; Viridiplantae; Streptophyta; Magnoliopsida; Lamiales; Plantaginaceae. The record is from RNAcentral.